Molecule: ribosomal RNA, 274 nt
Filed under: uncultured bacterium
Lineage: Bacteria
Description: partial 16S ribosomal RNA
Rfam family: Bacterial small subunit ribosomal RNA
Source: RNAcentral
AUACGGAGGGUCCAAGCGUUAUCCGGAAUCAUUGGGUUUAAAGGGUCCGCAGGCGGUCAAUUAAGUCAGAGGUGAAGGCCCAUCGCUCAACGAUGGAACUGCCUUUGAUACUGGUUGACUUGAGUUAUACGGAAGUAGAUAGAAUAAGUAGUGUAGCGGUGAAAUGCAUAGAUAUUACUUAGAAUACCGAUUGCGAAGGCAGUCUACUACGUAUAUACUGACGCUGAGGGACGAAAGCGUGGGGAGCGAACAGGAUUAGAUACCCGAGUAGUCC